UACGGAGGGUGCAAGCGUUAAUCGGAAUUACUGGGCGUAAAGCGCACGCAGGCGGUCUGUCAAGUCGGAUGUGAAAUCCCCGGGCUCAACCUGGGAACUGCAUCCGAAACUGGCAGGCUAGAGUCUUGUAGAGGGGGGUAGAAUUCCAGGUGUAGCGGUGAAAUGCGUAGAGAUCUGGAGGAAUACCGGUGGCGAAGGCGGCCCCCUGGACAAAGACUGACGCUCAGGUGCGAAAGCGUGGGGAGCAAACAGGAUUAGAUACCCUGGUAGUCCACGCCGUAAAAGAUGUCGACUUGUAGGUUGUGGCCUUGAGGCGUGGGUGCCGGAGCUAACGCGUUAAGUAGACCGCCUGGGGAGUACGGCCGCAAGGUUAAA
This 375-nucleotide ribosomal RNA is filed under the name uncultured bacterium. Its description in RNAcentral is "bacterial SSU rRNA". It matches the Rfam family "Bacterial small subunit ribosomal RNA", at positions 524 to 898 of the family's 1533-position model. The record is from RNAcentral.